Molecule: ribosomal RNA, 891 nt
Filed under: uncultured bacterium
Lineage: Bacteria
Description: bacterial SSU rRNA
Rfam family: Bacterial small subunit ribosomal RNA
Source: RNAcentral
CAUGCAAGUCGAACGGUAACAGGCCACGACAAUCCCUUCGGGGUGCGUCGGGCGCUGACGAGUGGCGGACGGGUGAGUAACGCGUAGGAAUCUGCCUGGCAGCGGGGGACAACCCCGGGAAACCGGGGCUAAUACCGCAUAUUCCCUACGGGGGAAAGACGGGGACUUCUUCGGAGGCCUGUCGCUGCCGGAUGAGCCUGCGUUGGAUUAGUUUGUUGGUGGGGUAAAGGCCUACCAAGGCGAUGAUCCAUAGCUGGUCUGAGAGGGUGAUCAGCCACACCGGGACUGAGACACGGCCCGGACUCCUACGGGAGGCAGCAGUGGGGAAUAUUGGACAAUGGGCGCAAGCCUGAUCCAGCAAUGCCGCGUGUGUGAAGACGGCCUUCGGGUUGUAAAGCACUUUCGAUUGGGAAGAAGGGCGCGGGGUUAACAGCCGCGCGCCUUGACGGUACCGAUUGAAGAAGCACCGGCUAACUCCGUGCCAGCAGCCGCGGUGAUACGGAGGGUGCAAGCGUUAAUCGGAAUUACUGGGCGUAAAGCGCACGCAGGCGGUCGGCUAAGUCGGAUGUGAAAGCCCCGGGCUCAACCUGGGAACUGCAUUCGAUACUGGCUGACUAGAGUAUGGCAGAGAGAGGUGGAAUUCCGCAUGUAGCGGUGAAAUGCGUAGAGAUGCGGAGGAACAUCAGUGGCGAAGGCGACCUCUUGGGCCAAUACUGACGCUCAGGUGCGAAAGCGUGGGGAGCAAACAGGAUUAGAUACCCUGGUAGUCCACGCCGUAAACGAUGUCUACUAGCCGUUGGGGAUUAGUUUCCUUAGUGGCGCAGCUAACGCGAUAAGUAGACCGCCUGGGGAGUACGGCCGCAAGGCUAAAACUCAAAGGAAUUGACGGGG